Molecule: long non-coding RNA, 479 nt
Organism: Lotus japonicus
Lineage: Eukaryota; Viridiplantae; Streptophyta; Magnoliopsida; Fabales; Fabaceae
Exons: 2
Source: RefSeq, a predicted model, not a curated record
UACACUACAGCACCUUCACAUGAAAAACAAAGAGAGAGCAGAAGAGAGAAAAGAGAGAACGUGUGAGAGAAGAGAAGGGAGCCGCCGCCCAAGCCACCACCAUUGUCGCAGGUCGCGCGUGGGAGAAGAGGAGAGAAACCAGAACCUUGCUCUUCACUUUCAUCUUUUCUUCAAGCCUAAGGACAAAGAUGGUCGUGAAGAUAAUGGCGAUGACUCAUUCUUGGGAGUUGAUGCUACGUGACGUGCCAAUACCGGAGGACGACUACACUUCAGAGGAAGAGGAAGAGGCUAAGGAAUAGGGUUUGGGUUGAGAGUCUUUUGUUUUCUGUUGGGGUUGAGAGUUUCCGAAGUGUUGGUAUCGCACAAUUUUAUUGCUUAAAUUCGAAUGAACAAGUUUUGAUGUAAUCUUUAUUUUCAUUCAGGCCUUUGAUUCGUACUCUUUACAGUUGGUUAUUUAAAAAGUUUUACGAUGUUGGUUA